UAGGGAAUCUUCGGCAAUGGACGAAAGUCUGACCGAGCAACGCCGCGUGAGUGAAGAAGGUUUUCGGAUCGUAAAACUCUGUUGUUAGAGAAGAACAAGGACGUUAGUAACUGAACGUCCCCUGACGGUAUCUAACCAGAAAGCCACGGCUAACUACGUGCCAGCAGCCGCGGUAAUACGUAGGUGGCAAGCGUUGUCCGGAUUUAUUGGGCGUAAAGCGAGCGCAGGCGGUUUCUUAAGUCUGAUGUGAAAGCCCCCGGCUCAACCGGGGAGGGUCAUUGGAAACUGGGAGAGUUGAGUGCAGAAGAGGAGAGUGCAAUUCCAUGUGUAGCGGUGAAAUGCGUAGAUAUAUGGAGGAACACCAGUGACGAAGGCGGCUCUCUGGUCUGUAACUGACGCUGAGGCUCGAAAGCGUGGGGAGCAAACAGG
This 429-nucleotide ribosomal RNA is filed under the name Gemmatimonadota bacterium. RNAcentral describes it as "Gemmatimonadetes bacterium partial 16S ribosomal RNA". It matches the Rfam family "Bacterial small subunit ribosomal RNA", at positions 355 to 776 of the family's 1533-position model. Lineage: Bacteria; Pseudomonadati; Gemmatimonadota. The record is from RNAcentral.